RNAcentral lists this long non-coding RNA (585 nucleotides) under Callithrix jacchus (white-tufted-ear marmoset). RNAcentral's name for it is "lncRNA (ENSCJAG00000064172.2)". The record is from RNAcentral. Lineage: Eukaryota; Metazoa; Chordata; Mammalia; Primates; Cebidae.
CCGGGAGAUGCCAUUGCGGAGAUGGGGGAGGCCUGAAAUGGUACGGACCUCCCUGGGAACUAUUACCGGGGAGAAGGGAUGCAGAGUUGGUGAUAAUACAUUCCUCUACCGGUAAGUAUCACUAGGGAGAAGGGGAGAACGUGUGAAGGUGGUAGUCCUCUCAAGAAAAUAACAGUAGGGAGAUAGAUACUAUUAAGCUAGCUGUGGCGAAGGCACAGGUUGGUACAGUCCGCCUUGGGAGAUACCACUGGUGCAAAUAGGGAGGUGUGGUACAAUCUGUUCUUGGAGAAAGAAACGAAGAAAGUGAAGUUGGUAAAUAUAGGCGCAGGGAGACUUGGAGACAGACGACCAGGGAUAAAGGGGUCCGGGUGAGGUGGAAUCUUAGUCGGAGACUAGGACUCAAAAGGAGGUGGCUAUCCUCUUGAAUCCAAGCCAGGGGACCCAUGCUGGGCUUGCUCACAGCUGCUUCUCGCCAGAACGCGGCCAAGAGGAGGAGAGCAAAAGGCGGAGAGGACCCCGGAGAAGAGGACUGGCGCCCUCUAGAGGAUGAGGAAGCUCAAUACCACCAUGACAGAGGAAAUUGAC